This 103-nucleotide unclassified non-coding RNA is filed under the name Paenibacillus algorifonticola. The record is from RNAcentral. Lineage: Bacteria; Bacillati; Bacillota; Bacilli; Caryophanales; Paenibacillaceae.
GUCUGCAUCACGAUUGCCGUCGUGGUACGGGUUAAACGGUCGAGAUAGAACGUUUCGCACUUGAGAGAGGCGUGAAACGAUUCAAUGGGGGCAUUAUCAGCGG